Molecule: ribosomal RNA, 274 nt
Filed under: uncultured bacterium
Lineage: Bacteria
Description: partial 16S ribosomal RNA
Rfam family: Bacterial small subunit ribosomal RNA
Source: RNAcentral
AGACAGAGGGUGCGAAUGUUGCUCGGAAUUACUGGGCGUAAAGCGCGCGUAGGCGGACUGAUCAGUUGGGGGUGAAAUCCCAGGGCUUAACCCUGGAACUGCCUCCAAUACUGUCAGUCUUGAGUUCGGGAGAGGUGAGUGGAAUUCCUAGUGUAGGGGUGAAAUUCGUAGAUAUUAGGAAGAACACCAGUGGCGAAGGCGGCUCACUGGCCCGAUACUGACGCUGAGGCGCGAAAGCGUGGGGAGCAAACAGGAUUAGAAACCCCAGUAGUCC